UACGAAGGGUGCAAGCGUUACUCGGAAUUACUGGGCGUAAAGCGUGCGUAGGUGGUUCGUUAAGUCUGAUGUGAAAGCCCUGGGCUCAACCUGGGAAUGGCAUUGGAUACUGGCGACCUAGAGUGCGGUAGAGGGGUGUGGAAUUCCCGGUGUAGCAGUGAAAUGCGUAGAUAUCUGGAGGAAUACCGGUGGCGAAGGCGGCAUCCUGGACCGACAUUGACGCUGAUGAGCGAAAGCUAGGGGAGCAAACGGG
This 253-nucleotide ribosomal RNA is filed under the name uncultured bacterium. RNAcentral describes it as "partial 16S ribosomal RNA". It matches the Rfam family "Bacterial small subunit ribosomal RNA", at positions 524 to 776 of the family's 1533-position model. The record is from RNAcentral.